UACGAAGGUCCCAAGCGUUAUCCGGAUUUAUUGGGUUUAAAGGGUGCGUAGGCGGCUUAUUAAGUCAGUGGUGAAAGCCCCAAGCUUAACUUGGGAAUUGCCAUUGAUACUGAUGAGCUUGAGUAGAUUUGAGGCGGGCGGAAUGUGUCGUGUAGCGGUGAAAUGCUUAGAUAUGACACAGAGCACCGAUUGCGUAGGCAGCUCGCUAAACUCUUACUGACGCUGAGGCACGAAAGCAUGGGGAUCAAACAGG
RNAcentral lists this ribosomal RNA (253 nucleotides) under uncultured bacterium. RNAcentral describes it as "partial 16S ribosomal RNA". It matches the Rfam family "Bacterial small subunit ribosomal RNA", at positions 524 to 776 of the family's 1533-position model. The record is from RNAcentral.